CGGUCCUAUAAGUCAGUGGUGAAAGACGGCAGCUUAACUGUCGCAGUGCCUUUGAUACUGUAGGACUUGAAUCUAUUUGAAGUGGGCGGAAUAAGACAAGUAGCGGUGAAAUGCAUAGAUAUGUCUUAGAACUCCGAUUGCGAAGGCAGCUCACUAAGUUAGUAUUGACGCUGAUGCACGAAAGCGUGGGGAUCAAACAGGAUUAGAUACCCUGGUAGUCCACGCCCUAAACGAUGAUAACUCGAUGUUUGCGAUACACAGUAAGCGUCCAAGCGAAAGCGUUAAGUUAUCCACCUGGGGAGUACGGUCGCAAGAUUGAAACUCAAAGGAAUUGACGGGGGCCCGCACAAGCGGAGGAGCAUGUGGUUUAAUUCGAUGAUACGCGAGGAACCUUACCCGGGCUUGAAAGUUAGUGAAUGAUCCAGAGACGGAUCAGUCCUUCGGGACACGAAACUAGGUGCUGCAUGGCUGUCGUCAGCUCGUGCCGUGAGGUGUUGGGUUAAGUCCCGCAACGAGCGCAACCCCUAUGUUUAGUUGCCAGCACAUUAAGGUGGGGACUCUAAACAGACUGCCAGCGUAAGCUGUGAGGAAGGUGGGGACGACGUCAAGUCAUCAUGGCCCUUACGUCCGGGGCUACACACGUGCUACAAUGGAUGGUACAGCGGGCAGCUACAUAGCAAUAUGAUGCUAAUCUC
Molecule: ribosomal RNA, 695 nt
Filed under: Sphingobacterium sp. XYL_328
Lineage: Bacteria; Pseudomonadati; Bacteroidota; Sphingobacteriia; Sphingobacteriales; Sphingobacteriaceae
Description: bacterial SSU rRNA
Rfam family: Bacterial small subunit ribosomal RNA
Source: RNAcentral